GUUUUCUGCAAAAUUCCAGUGUGGGUGGAAUUGAAGCUGUGUCAGGCAGAGGAAAGGGAGAGGUGAGAUUCUCUUCCCACAACUGAAGGACUUGAGCCUCCAAUGUUAACCCUACCUUGUACAUGCUGUAGCACUGCUGGAGGACUGAACUAUAAACCUUGUCCUGCAGGAAAGAGAGCAACCCAUCAGUAGGAGCAGAAGCAGAACUAGCUGCUCCCAACCAGUGCCACGGUGAGCCAGAUUAUUCCACCCUACACACGGGGCUUUGCUGAACUCCACAAGGCUUCUGCCGGCCCAGUCCCCAGCUCGCUGAGGGUCCCUCUGAACAGCACCUCAUCCUCCAGCAGAACAACAGCUUCUCCCGGGCUGGAGUCACCCAGGAGCGUGCUGAGGGCACUCAGCCUCCUCAUCCUGUCACUGCUAAGUAUGUAAGUACACUGCUCUGUUCAAAAACUAUUAAAGCUCAGCAUGAACCCCACAACACGCUGUUACCUACAGCCAGUUAGUUACUAGAGCUUCUUGACUUUCCUUACUAAGGGACAUAGCGGCGAAUAAACACUAGCAGUAACUUGACUGUAACUAAGCUAAACAGUAACCUUUCUACCGCAUUGUAUCGACGUCGAGAAAGUUAUUUUUAGACAAAGUUAAAACAUCAGUAAAACAGUUGCUGACUGUUCAGCUUCCCAUCUACAACAUGGGCCCUGCUGCUGACAACACCUCCGGUUACUGUUUCUUUUCGAUCUGAAGCAGUGACAGACUCCAUUGGGGGCAGCAGUCAUCCCCGGCCCUGCGGGUACCCAAAGCCCGGUAGGGAUGCGGCGGCCGCGGGCCGGGAGAGCCGCAGCUGCGACCGCCUUUGUCCGAGGCCGCUCCGCAGGGACAGAGCCGAGGCCGCACACGCUUGCGCCCGGCCUCGGGCACGGAGGGACCACCGCACCUUCCCCGCAUCCCCGGGCGCGACAUC
Non-coding RNA from Cyanistes caeruleus (blue tit), 964 nucleotides. NCBI's taxonomy places the organism in Eukaryota, Metazoa, Chordata, Aves, Passeriformes, Paridae. The record is from RefSeq and is a predicted model, not a curated record.